Molecule: ribosomal RNA, 883 nt
Filed under: uncultured Chloroflexota bacterium
Lineage: Bacteria; Bacillati; Chloroflexota
Description: bacterial SSU rRNA
Rfam family: Bacterial small subunit ribosomal RNA
Source: RNAcentral
AGAGUUUGAUCCUGGCUCAGGAUGAACGCUGGCGGCGUGCUUAAUACAUGUAAGUCGGACGGUAGGACAGCAAUGGACUAUAGUGGCGAACGGGUGAGUAACGCGUGGGUGACCUGCCCCGAAGUGGGGGAUAACAGCUCGAAAGGGCUGCUAAUACCGCAUAAUAUCUACAUGGUUAGAGAAUGUAGAGGAAAGCCUUAGGGCGCUUUGGGAGGGACCUGCGACCCAUCAGCUAGUUGGUAAGGUAGAAGCUUACCAAGGCGACGACGGGUAGGGGGCCUGAGAGGGUGACCCCCCACACUGGCACUGAAACACGGGCCAGACACCUACGGGUGGCAGCAGUAGGGAAUAUUGCACAAUGGGCGAAAGCCUGAUGCAGCAACGCCGCGUGCACGAUGAAGGCCUUCGGGUCGUAAAGUGCUUUUCUGCAGGACGAGGAAGGACGGUACUGUAGGAAUAAGGAUCGGCUAACUACGUGCCAGCAGCCGCGGUAACACGUAGGAUCCGAGCGUUAUCCGAAUUCACUGGGCGUAAAGCGCUUGCAGGCGGCUGGAUAAGUUGGAUGUAAAAUCUCCUGGCUCAACUGGGAGGGGCCGUUCAAGACUGUUCAGCUAGAGGGCAAUAGAGGGAGGUGGAAUUCCAGGUGUAGUGGUGAAAUGCGUAGAUAUCUGGAGGAACACCAGUGGCGAAAGCGGCCUCCUGGAUUGCAUCUGACGCUCAGAAGCGAAAGCUAGGGGAGCGAACGGGAUUAGAAACCCCGGUAGUCCUAGCCGUAAACGAUGUAGACUGGGUGUAGGUGGAGUAAAAUCUAUCUGUACCGAAGCGAACGCGAUAAGUCUACCGCCUGGGGACUACGCUGCAGUUAAACUCAAGGAAUUGACGG